RNAcentral lists this ribosomal RNA (450 nucleotides) under uncultured bacterium. RNAcentral describes it as "partial 16S ribosomal RNA". It matches the Rfam family "Bacterial small subunit ribosomal RNA", at positions 354 to 796 of the family's 1533-position model. The record is from RNAcentral.
GUGGGGAAUAUUGGACAAUGGGCGAAAGCCUGAUCCAGCCAUGCCGCGUGUGUGAAGAAGGUCUUCGGAUUGUAAAGCACUUUAAGUUGGGAGGAAGGGCAGUAAGUUAAUACCUUGCUGUUUUGACGUUACCGACAGAAUAAGCACCGGCUAACUUCGUGCCAGCAGCCGCGGUAAUACGAAGGGUGCAAGCGUUAAUCGGAAUUACUGGGCGUAAAGCGCGCGUAGGUGGUUCAGCAAGUUGGAGGUGAAAUCCCCGGGCUCAACCUGGGAACUGCCUCCAAAACUACUGGGCUAGAGUACGGUAGAGGGUAGUGGAAUUUCCUGUGUAGCGGUGAAAUGCGUAGAUAUAGGAAGGAACACCAGUGGCGAAGGCGACUACCUGGACUGAUACUGACACUGAGGUGCGAAAGCGUGGGGAGCAAACAGGAUUAGAUACCCUAGUAGUCC